AUGCUGAGCCUGCCAAUUUGGAGAAACAGAGCGCACUUCAGGAAACAGGUCAUCCCCAAACUGCUGAAGGAUGAAGGGAUGGGGAAAGAAAUGGUCUUUAUGUUUGACGGCUCCACAGCCUGUUCAUUUUGUGCUGAGAAUCUGUUUUGCUGUUUUAUGGGCCAUCCUGCAACACACAUGAGCACUGUGCAGAAGAGUGUGAGGAAACUACUGCAAAAGGAAGCAGAAUAAAAAAGAAACAAAGGAAGAAAGAAGCAUUUUACUGAGGUCUCAAGCGGAGGGGAGAGAGCGAGGGGAGAGAAGCAGAGACACACUGAGGCACAUUCUCAGGAAUUCUCUCUGUCCUGGCGGAUCUGGAUCUCUGUAAUUAGCCACGUGUACUCCUAUGUUCCUGAGAGUUUCCUUUUUCUUUUUUGGUACUGGGGAUCUAACUCAGGACCUUGUGCUUGCGAGGCAAGCACCAGAACCACUGAGCUAAAUCACUGGAACUGCCUGAGAUUUUUCUUGCUGUCACUUUCUUUUCUGCAUCUUAUUUCAUUCGUGAAGUUUUAUGUAGCUUUGAAAUCACAGUAUAAAAUAUUUAGAUUGUUUCAAUGUUUAAAAUACAAUCAUGUCAGUCAGCCAU
RNAcentral lists this long non-coding RNA (625 nucleotides) under Fukomys damarensis (Damara mole-rat). RNAcentral describes it as "lncRNA (ENSFDAG00000025552.1)". The record is from RNAcentral. Lineage: Eukaryota; Metazoa; Chordata; Mammalia; Rodentia; Bathyergidae.